Equus quagga is the source of this 551-nucleotide long non-coding RNA. RefSeq lists it as uncharacterized. The record is from RefSeq and is a predicted model, not a curated record. NCBI's taxonomy places the organism in Eukaryota, Metazoa, Chordata, Mammalia, Perissodactyla, Equidae. The transcript has 4 exons.
GCGGCGGCCGGGACGCUGGCCAGCCGGGCUCAGGGCUCCCCGGUCCAGCCCGCGCCCUCCCCGCGGCCAGAGGCGCCACGGCGACCUGGGCGCGCCCUUCGGCCCGCCCCCGACCAGCGGUGGCGGAGGGAGCGAAGGAUGAAGGUGAAGCAAAGUUUGGCAGCUUUGGUGUGGAAGCUGAGAAAGAGACGGUGAGAUGGCUGGUUACCCAAUGCGGAGAUCUGUGAUGUCUUUAUGUGAUUCUGGCCCCGUUGGAUGAAAAGUACUGUUAAAAAAGGAAGCCAGCUGCUGUGUUGUGAGCUGCCCUAUGGAGAAGCCCAUGUGGUAAGGAACUGAGGCGUCGGAGCAACAGUUGCAUGAGUGAGUUUGGAAGCAGAUCCUUCAACCCAGCCAAGCCUUCGGAUGACUUCAGCCAUUGUGAACUGAAACGUCAUGAGACCCUGAGCCAGAACCACCUAGCUAAGCUACUCUUGGAUUCCUGACCUCAGAAACUGUCCCAGUACAUGGUUAUAUAGCCUGGUUGUAAGUCCUUCUCGUUCUUCUAUGUGAGC